Non-coding RNA from Aegilops tauschii subsp. strangulata, 559 nucleotides. NCBI's taxonomy places the organism in Eukaryota, Viridiplantae, Streptophyta, Magnoliopsida, Poales, Poaceae. The record is from RefSeq and is a predicted model, not a curated record.
UUCCGUUUACAUUAAUAGAGGGCGAAAAAUACUCUAAUGCAAUAUCAUUUCUCUUUCUUGUUCGUCUUUUUUUUGAACUAUUAUUAUUGUGUACAGCAUUAAUUUAUAACUGCUGAUUCAUGUUAUCUGCCUAUAUAUACUGCUUGCAAGAUGCUGCGAUGGUGUAUAUAUCUGAGUUAUUUUUGUUUCUGUUUUUAAAGGGAUGACAACGGACAAAUACAAGCGUACUCGUCUUUCAGUGGAGCGUAAGAAGCGUAAGCAUAUGCGUGCAAAGGAUGACAUCGGACAAAGACGAGCGUAAAAAUAUGCGCAUAAGGUAAAGACCUGGAAUCUGGUGACUGGUGUUGAACACUUUGGCGACGCACAAAUUGAAGAUGAUGCUGCCAGAACCAAGUCAAUAGGGCAACAUUUCUCAUUGAUGUGAUGAAGAUGAUGUGCUCAUGAAUAUCUAUUGAGUAAAUGAAACAUGUAAUCAUAUGCUUAUAAAUUAAAGUUUGAGAUUGAACGUCUUUUCUUUCAGUGUUUGACAUGAAAAUGGGAAAUGUACCCCCUUGGUCAA